UGCCGGUGAUAACCGGAGAGGCGGGGAUGACGUCAAGUCCUCACUGGCCCUUACCAUCCCGGGCUACACACGUGCUACAAUGGCAGGUACAGAGGGCUGCGAAGCCGCGAGGUGGAGCGAAUCCCAGAAAACCUGUCUCAGUCCGGAUUGAAGUCUGCAACUCGACUUCAUGAAGGCGGAAUCGCUAGUAACCGCGAAUCAGCAGGUCGCGGUGAAUACCGUUCCCGGGCCUU
Molecule: ribosomal RNA, 233 nt
Filed under: uncultured Latescibacterota bacterium
Lineage: Bacteria; Pseudomonadati; Candidatus Latescibacterota
Description: uncultured Latescibacteria bacterium partial 16S ribosomal RNA
Rfam family: Bacterial small subunit ribosomal RNA
Source: RNAcentral